GUUAUUAUUAGUUUACCUUCAAACUGUUAAUGCUUUACAUACAUGACUAUUUAUUAAAUCAGAACGUGCAUGAAUGUGACAAUAACUAAAAUGACCUUCAAAGCUGGGGAUGAUCCAUGUUAUGUUUUAUCAAUGAAAGUAUAGGUAUGAAAGGUAAGAAUUGCCAAUUCUCCUAUUUUCACAAAAUUUUCCAAAUACACAGUAGAUAGAUUAUUUUUUAAUAGUCAAUUGCGGAG
RNAcentral lists this long non-coding RNA (236 nucleotides) under Mytilus galloprovincialis (Mediterranean mussel). The record is from RNAcentral. Lineage: Eukaryota; Metazoa; Mollusca; Bivalvia; Mytilida; Mytilidae.